This 484-nucleotide ribosomal RNA is filed under the name uncultured bacterium. RNAcentral's name for it is "partial 16S ribosomal RNA". It matches the Rfam family "Bacterial small subunit ribosomal RNA", at positions 30 to 507 of the family's 1533-position model. The record is from RNAcentral.
AUUGAACGCUGGCGGCAGGCCUAACACAUGCAAGUCGAGCGGAUGAAGGGAGCUUGCUCCUGGAUUCAGCGGCGGACGGGUGAGUAAUGCCUAGGAAUCUGCCUGGUAGUGGGGGAUAACGUCCGGAAACGGGCGCUAAUAUCGCAUACGUCCUGAGGGAGAAAGUGGGGGAUCUUCGGACCUCACGCUACCAGAUGAGCCUAGGUCGGAUUAGCUAGUUGGUGGGGUAAAGGCCUACCAAGGCGACGAUCCGUAACUGGUCUGAGAGGAUGAUCAGUCACACUGGAACUGAGACACGGUCCAGACUCCUACGGGAGGCAGCAGUGGGGAAUAUUGGACAAUGGGCGAAAGCCUGAUCCAGCCAUGCCGCGUGUGUGAAGAAGGUCUUCGGAUUGUAAAGCACUUUAAGUUGGGAGGAAGGUCAGUAAGUUAAUACCUUGCUGUUUUGACGUUACCAACAGAAUAAGCACCGGCUAACUUCGUG